RNAcentral lists this ribosomal RNA (391 nucleotides) under Erwinia amylovora. Its description in RNAcentral is "bacterial SSU rRNA". It matches the Rfam family "Bacterial small subunit ribosomal RNA", at positions 1 to 388 of the family's 1533-position model. The record is from RNAcentral. Lineage: Bacteria; Pseudomonadati; Pseudomonadota; Gammaproteobacteria; Enterobacterales; Erwiniaceae.
UUUAAUUGAAGAGUUUGAUCAUGGCUCAGAUUGAACGCUGGCGGCAGGCCUAACACAUGCAAGUCGAACGGUAGCACAGAGAGCUUGCUCUUGGGUGACGAGUGGCGGACGGGUGAGUAAUGUCUGGGAAACUGCCCGAUGGAGGGGGAUAACUACUGGAAACGGUAGCUAAUACCGCAUAACGUCUACGGACCAAAGUGGGGGACCUUCGGGCCUCACACCAUCGGAUGUGCCCAGAUGGGAUUAGCUGGUAGGUGAGGUAACGGCUCACCUAGGCGACGAUCCCUAGCUGGUCUGAGAGGAUGACCAGCCACACUGGAACUGAGACACGGUCCAGACUCCUACGGGAGGCAGCAGUGGGGAAUAUUGCACAAUGGGCGCAAGCCUGAUG